This 723-nucleotide ribosomal RNA is filed under the name Neobacillus niacini. RNAcentral's name for it is "bacterial SSU rRNA". It matches the Rfam family "Bacterial small subunit ribosomal RNA", at positions 56 to 769 of the family's 1533-position model. Lineage: Bacteria; Bacillati; Bacillota; Bacilli; Caryophanales; Bacillaceae. The record is from RNAcentral.
UGCAAGUCGAGCGAAUCUUUAGGAGCUUGCUCCUGAAGGUUAGCGGCGGACGGGUGAGUAACACGUGGGCAACCUGCCUGUAAGACUGGGAUAACUUCGGGAAACCGGAGCUAAUACCGGAUAAUCCUUUUCCUCUCAUGAGGAAAAGCUGAAAGUCGGUUUACGCUGACACUUACAGAUGGGCCCGCGGCGCAUUAGCUAGUUGGUGAGGUAAUGGCUCACCAAGGCGACGAUGCGUAGCCGACCUGAGAGGGUGAUCGGCCACACUGGGACUGAGACACGGCCCAGACUCCUACGGGAGGCAGCAGUAGGGAAUCUUCCGCAAUGGACGAAAGUCUGACGGAGCAACGCCGCGUGAGCGAUGAAGGCCUUCGGGUCGUAAAGCUCUGUUGUUAGGGAAGAACAAGUACCGGAGUAACUGCCGGUACCUUGACGGUACCUAACCAGAAAGCCACGGCUAACUACGUGCCAGCAGCCGCGGUAAUACGUAGGUGGCAAGCGUUGUCCGGAAUUAUUGGGCGUAAAGCGCGCGCAGGCGGUCCUUUAAGUCUGAUGUGAAAGCCCACGGCUCAACCGUGGAGGGUCAUUGGAACUGGGGGACUUGAGUACAGAAGAGGAAGCGGAAUUCCACGUGUAGCGGUGAAUGCGUAGAGAUGUGGAGGACACCAGUGGCGAAGCGGCUUUCUGGUCUGUAACUGACGCUGAGCGCGAAAGCGUGGGAGC